RNAcentral lists this long non-coding RNA (32284 nucleotides) under Citrus maxima (pomelo). Its description in RNAcentral is "long non-coding RNA (CMAX_LNC000750)". Lineage: Eukaryota; Viridiplantae; Streptophyta; Magnoliopsida; Sapindales; Rutaceae. The record is from RNAcentral.
UUUGUCGUUGUUUUAUCACUCUCCGUACAUACAACCUUCUUCAAUAUGAAUUAAUAUACAGCUGAGGUCCCUAAAAUAAAUGUAGUUUUUAGACCAGAUCUCAUAAGUCUUUUCUCUUUAGAUGUGGCCUUGUUCCUAGGUAAGGGGAUUGUAAAACAGUCUCUCUAUAUGGCCAUUGACACUGGUAACAGUACUAUCAUCACCAUGCUGAUACACAACUUGUGCAGUUCUGGCAAGGUUCAAUGAAGCAUUGACUAUGGAUGCAGGCAAUGCUGCCGGAGCCACUAACAUUCCAUUGAGCUCUACCCACAAGCUGCGAAUCAGCUGCCUUAUGUGCUUUCUGGCUUCUUCUUCACAUGAGAUCGUCUUCUCCCUCAUGUAACAUUCUAUACUAGAUGCAACAUCUCCUCUCUCUUGCUCCUCCUGUAAAGGGGUUAAAAAGAAAAAAAGAAAAUUUAAUUUUUUCUAACACAAAUGUAUUGAUUGAUAAUACAUAUUGAUCAAGUUGAUGCUCAAAUCACAUACUCUGGCAGUUCCCAAAUCAUCCCAGAGCCGAAGAAUUUUGCCUGAGCAAGAGAAGAGAUUAGGAUAUGGCUCCAUCAUUGCCAAAGUUUCUUUGGUAACGCCUUGUCCCAUGAGACAGAAAGCAUGCACCAAUGCCAUAUAAGUACCUCCUGUUGUAACUCCAUUUCUUAAAUAUUGCUCUUGUGUGGGUACAUAUCCCUCACUAAACCACUUAGCUUCAGAAAGUUGAGCUUUAAAUAUGUCGAUCCACUGCAACAAAUUAAAAAAGGGCCUCUUAGUUCGGAUGAUACAAUAUCUUAAAUAUAUUACAUUUGUAAUCUCAGCAUAUCCGAAAGAGCAUUACCGUUCUUUUUAAUUGCGGAACAACGUUCCAUCCAUGAUCUUUGAGAAUCCUGUAGGAAAUUUCAUUGGUGGUAUUGUACAAUGCCAUGUAACAUAUCUUCAUAUAUUCAGGAAUAUGCUCCAUUGCACCAAGAUCCCAUCUGCAUUAUAAAUUAAUUGCAAAAAAUCCGCUGAAUAAUAUUAUGUAUUGCAGGCUGCAGAGGCUCAAAUUAUAGAUAGUAAUGUAAAACGGGAGGCAUCAAUCAAACCUUUGAAUUGCUUCGGUGAAGAGAACCAGGUCGCUCAGUGAGCCAUAAGUGUCAAAGAUAUCAUCAAUGACCAAUAGCAACGCAAUGGUUUUGGCUAGCUCAAUCCGGCAAUUAGAAUAAUAUGGUUCCGGAAAUAUACCCACGGUCCAUAAGAAGCACUCUAAUGGUCUAUCUCUACCGAAGCCAAGUUUGUCAACUAGACCCAAUUGCUUCCACCACCUAAAAGAACAUAACAGAAAUACCAAUUAAUUGUUGACGUUGACUAAAUAAUCUACCAUGUUAUUGUUAGAGGCCCACCUUUUUAUCUCAGCCAACUCUCUUUGGUGCAAUGACUGAACCAUAUUAAAAUCUGACUUUGCAAGUUGAAGCAGAGUCUGGUAAUGGUUCCAUGAUUGGCUAUAUUCAUUAAUGUAGUUUCCAGCUUCAGAUCUCGACAUCCUCAAGUGCCUUGGAAGUGCCAAGGCUUGAACAACAUGCCUACUGGAUUGUGAAUCCAUAAGUGAUACUGACUGUGUGAGUUCAGUUUUUGUGAAUUCCAUGGCUUGAAAUAAUAUGUCUUCAUCUUGUGUGGCCAAGUAAGAUGCCUCAUACAAACUCAACAUACCCCGUGUAUCUUUCGACACGGACUCCUUUAGCUUCCCUUCCUUGUUAAUAAAUUUCUUGAAAAUAUCUAUUAACCAAACAAAAAAUUACAUUAAAUUGAAAUCAUAACUUACAAGGGCAUAAUCACAUUGUCAUUCACUUAAAAAUGUAACACCAAAACUCUCUUCGAUGAAAGGCACUGUGAUUUUACUGGGUUAAUUUAGUAAUUUACCGGUGCAAGCUGGUAAUCCAUUUUGCCUCAGCAACCUAAAACGAAGUGCAUUUUCAAAGAGAUUUUCUUCACCGGCUGCAUCCCCGUCGGAAAACUUUUCAAGUCGUUCCAUAAUUUCAUCUUCAAAAUGGUACCCUAUUCCCAGCCGCUGAAUGGUGUCGAUCAACUUCAUUGUAGCCGUUGGAUCAUUGCUAGAUUUCCUCAGAGCCUUCCUUGUUCUCUCUUGCAAUUCUUCUUCCAAGCUCUUGGUACCACGAUCACCUUCAUAUGUUAAUACCUAAAAACAACAACAUCAUAAAAUGUAAUCAAAUUAAAGCCAUAAAAGCAAUAUCUAACGGUAGCAAAAGAAAGACAUGGGAUGGAAAAAUAUUUAAUUAAAGACAUGGGGUGGAAAAGUAUUUAAUUAACAUACGUUUUGACGAGGCGAGGUUUUGAAAUCUGUGACCAAUGGCUUCGGCAGAGACGAUAACUGGCAUAUGCAUGACAAUGAAUUUGAAUGCAGGGAUCGGCCCUGCUGCCAUGAACGUGUUCUUAGUGAAACCAGUGGCCCUAAACGUAAAGAAACACAGCUUGUUGUAGGCAUUUUCAGUUUUUGAUCAACUGCUGCUUAAUGUAUUGCAUGCAAUAUUGAGGCUGAAUGUGAACAUAUAUAUAGUAUCGAAUAUUUACUAAGAACUAAUACAUCGUUGUAUUUACACCUCCUUAUAGGGCUGCGAGUUUGGGUUAGUUCAAGACGUAAACGUGCAUGCAUGUAUAGUUGUAAAAUGAACAAGUCACUAUUCUUUUGAGAAAAUUUCCCCGCCAUAUGUUCUUAAUUCAUCAAUGGAGCAGAACUCUAGUCAAAUUUUUCUUCUUGUUGCGACUUUCGAUCAAUAAUCGUAACUAAAUUUACCCUACAAAUUUUUGGUCCAGCUCGCAAUAUUAGAAUUCUGUCAAGUUGAUUAUAGUAUGUUUAAUAUCUUCGCCCAUAUGACCAACUAGGCUUAUUAAUUUGUUGGACAUUGCUUAUGAGAAAGUCCAACUAAGCAGCUAGCCAAACCUCUUAUUAAUGAGGUUAGAAUAUAUCACUGUCGGUCGUCAUAAGAAAGUCCAAUUAGGCAGCGACAUCAUAUUCAAUAUUAGGAUCAUGGUAUGUUACUACAGUGGAAUUGGACAGCUACAUUAUAUUUAAGGAUCCCUCUAAGUUACAUGCAUGUACCUUGCAACCCUCUCACAUGAAUAGUAUCCAUACACUAUUCAUGUGAGAGGGAUGUAAGGUACAUGCAUGUAACUUAGCAUUACCCUAUAUUUAAUAUUAGGAUCAUGGCAUGUUACUACAGUAGGAGCAUACCAUACUUUUGUCUUUUGGGUUAAUUACACUGCAAUCCCUGUUUUAUUUUAAAAUUAAAAAUUAGAUAAUAUUAAAUUUUGACUCAUUAGUCCUACUUAUUUUGAUUUUUUUAAACUUAAAUAAAAAAGUGAGUGUAUUUUUUAAUUAUUAAUUCACACACCCAUCAUCAAAGUUUUAAAAAGAAAAUUUACUCCAUACACUUACCUAAAUGUCAAAUAUAUCCUUGAUAGAACUAAUUUUUUAUUUGUACUAAAUAAAUUAAUUAAAAUGCUAUAAAAAAAUUGAAUGAAUUCUUUACAUGCCUACUAAUUUCAGCUCCAUAUCUCUAGAAAUUAGCAACUAAAUUCUGUCACUAACUCAAAAUUAUUGAACAUGAGAUACGAAAAAGGUUCUCAAAUAAGUGUGGAGCAUAAAAUGGCUUUACCUCCAAAUUCUUAUUAAAAGUUUCUAAACUUAUUCAUCAAGCUCGUAGAUGUAAGAAUACAUGAUGAGCAAGUUGCCAUCCCCUCUCACUUUUUGAUACCUUCUUAUUAAACAAUAAAAAAAUUUUUAACUGGUAAAUUAAUAUAUUUUUAUUGCAUAUUGAAAUUAUUUGCUGUAUAUUGAAUAAGUAUUAUGAAAAAAAUAUUAACAACAAAUUAAGAACAAGAGACCAAAUUCAUACUCAUAUUUAUCAUAAAAUAUGGUUUGUAAUUAAUACAUGGUUUUACUAUAUAUUAAAUUAAUUAAUUAAUAAGAAAGAAUAUUAAUUUAAAUAUAUUAAUUCAAAUAUAAGAAUGAAUCAAUUUAUCGGUGAAAUUAACUAGGUCAUUUGACACAAUAAAUUGUAUUGCAUUAGUUGCAUUGUAUUACAGUUUGUGUCAUUAAGGUGUAUUAAAUUGUAAUACAACAUCAGGUUUGGUGCAACAUGAACUGUAGUAUAUAUAAUAAUAUUUUAUAUCACUAUUUAGAUUACUAUUAAUUUUAAAUUAAUAUUAUUCAAAUUUAUUAAUAUUUAAGUAUUUAUUAUUUGUUAUAUUAAAUAUUUAAAAAUAAUUAAUUUUUAUACACUAAUUAUUUUAAUAUAAUUAAAUAACAUAACAUAAUAUUAUAUUAUAUUUUUAUUUUUAUACAUUAUUUAUGUAUUUAUUAUUAGUUAUAUUAAAUUUUUAAAUAAUAAUCAAUUUUUAUAUUAAUUACUAUAAUAUAAUAUUAUAAUUUUAUUUUUAUAUAAUAUUUAAGUAUAUAUUAUUAGUUAUAUUAGCUUAUUAUAUAAUAAUCAAUUUUUACUUAUUAAAUGUUAUAAUAUAAUUAAGUAAUAUAUUAUUUAAUUAUAUUUUUAAAGUAAUUAAAAUGUUUUAAUAUUAUUGAAUAAUGAAUUGUAAAUUUAUGGACUUAUGUGUCAAUAUUUUUGUUACUUUUGUGAUUUUGCAGUAAACAUUAGGAAGUUUAAUGUUAAUAACCCAACAGCAACAUCUUAGCCAUUGCACUUGUUUUGAGUUUAAUCUAACGGUUGAUAAGGAAAAGACAAAAGAAUGUGGUAUGUUACUACAGCGGUAACAUAAUUGGACCCUUAAUAUUAUCCUUGCAAUAUUGGUGACAUAAACGAAGGAUCCAAAGUAUAUGGAGUAUAAAUUUUGAAAAAUAUCAGUAGAAGUCCGACUAUACUCAUACAUAACACAAAGAACAAAAUAGAAAAGAAACGAAAACGGUUUGAAAUGAAAAAUAAUUCUUAUAACUCACCAUAAGUGAACUAAAAAGCACGAUCUAUGUCAGUUAAGAGGCCACAACUAUUGCUUACACAACAUGUUUAUAUGCUAACUAUGCAUUGCAAUCUCCUUAAAAUACCUAAACUAGAAGAUGUGUAACAAAACAUUUAAGACGUGUGGAAAAAGCAUUAUUUAUUAAUUUGCUUGGUGGGUCUUUUACUUAUUAGACUUGCCAUUAUAUAAAAUUGUCUUACUUAAAUCCCAAGUUUAUCUGUAAAACGCUCAUACGACAUGAAUCGGACCUCAGUUGAUACCAGAAUCUUUGUUAGUGAAAGUAGUAAGGAUUGCUCCUUUAUUGCUCUUCUUCUGAUCCCUGCCAGUUGCUUGAGGGGUUAAACAUUCCCUCUUUUUCUCUUCUUCGUUGCUCUUUCUGCCUCUGUUUCUCGCAGCAGCUUGCACUGCUACUACUCCCCCCUCCCGCCUCUCACAUUUUUUUAAACACUGCUCGUAUUGCCGCUUUGGAUCUUGGUGAUGCGGAUUGCCGUCUUCAUCAUCAUCAACAAGAGCGGAGGCCAUAUAAGACUAGAGGGUGCCCUGGUCCAUGCAAAAUUUUAAAAAGUUAGUGUAAAAUGUCCAUAUUGGCCCCUGAACAAUUAAUGUAGAAAGUUUAUAUAUAAUAACAUAAAAAUUAGAAGUUUAAAAUUAGCCCCCGUAGAAUUUCCCCCUGAGCUCCGCCCCUGAUCAUCAACAACAUCAUCGACAAGUCCUCCUCAUUAAUUGUUUUUUGUAUUGUCUCUCACAUCUUUACAUGCACUACCUCUUUUGCCUUGCCUCUUACUUCUCGCAUAGUUGCUAAAAGUACUUUUCCUCCAGGUCGCAUGGGACGCUAUUAUGUCUUCAGAUUGCUCUCUUUCUAUUUCCUUAUCACGUUCCCAUUGCUCUUUGCGGCACUCUUCCUUAAGCUCUCUAAUCGCCUGCUACUCUUUACAAUGCCUCUGACACUGUUAUUGUCGCUCCUUUCAGCUAGAAAGUAUUAGAGGUAUUGCUCAAGGAGCUCUCUGAUUCGCAUUCACUUGACCUCCUCUUCUAACAAGCUGAACAAGAAAACAAGCACGAUAACUCCUCCUUCAUUUCACAGCAUGUUGGGAUAUAUCCUUUUAGGGAAUAACAAAUGUAGAGAAUUGCAGUAAUAAUGGUGGAAUUUUGUUAUAUAAAGUAAGGUGUUUACAACUUUGUGUAUAGAAAGAAAAUAAUAAUAAUAGGUAAACUGCAGAAAAAUAAUGUGUAAUUCAAGGCAUGUUACAAAUGUUACUUUCUAGAAUAUAAUGAAGCAUUUAUUUGUUUAUUUGCAUUGUGCAUUGACGAAAACAAACUUAAAUAGUCUUGAAUGUUGGAAGCUUGCCAAGAAUCAAUAUAUUGUUCCUACAGAAAACAAUAUACUGGAUAUUGAUGCAUAAAAAUAUGUGUUAUACAAUGAAAUUCAUUUUAAAAAAGAGGAAUAAGAAAAAGAGUGGUGUAGGUUCAUUAUGUUUAUGUCUAAAUAGCCUAUACAUGACCUCUAUUUAUAGAUAUACUUGUGCCCUUUCGUUUCGGUUGUCACCUUUUAUGAUAUCCUUUCAUUCAUGGCAAUUGGAUUAAUAUUUGAUUUUAACCAAUGGUUCAAAUUGAACCAUCACCAUUUCAAAUUAAAUGAUAUUAUGAAGGGAUGUAUCCUUAAGUGAAAAGAUACCCCUUCUAUAAGUGAUGACUCUAUGAAAUAAGAGUUAUCAUGACACUUUUAGACUUAAAUCAAUAUUAGUUAGAGAGCGAAUGAUGUGUUUUUAUUGCAUUUUAGUUACAUUUUGCAUGUGCAUCAAUUUUAGAUUAUUUUUGUGUUUAAAUUGAAUUGAUUUGGAUUAUUUUGUGUUUAAAUUACAUACAUAAUUGUAGGUAGCCAAAAGCUCAAAUUUUAGGAAUGGAAUGUUGCUGCAACAUACUUGCAGAGCUAAUGAAAGAACUUGGCUACAGAGGAGUUAAAACAAGUUUGGAACAGUGCAUAUGCUGUAGUAUUGACAGACUGGAUUUCACAUGCAAUAACUAAAAGAUUUCGAUAUGAAGUUUCCAAAAAUGAAGGAUAUGCGCCACACACUUUCGGUUGCCCUAGUCUCGAGUUAUAAAAGGAGCACGCAUGAAAAGAAAAAGGAGGAGCUGUCAUCAAGGAGCAUACAAAAAAGAAAACAACAAGAAAAAAAAAAUUAAGAGAGAUAUUGAGGGCUGUAAUAGAAGAUUCGAGGAGGAACAUAGAAAAUAUCACUAAGACCAAGUAGAACUAAGUUCUUCUUCUUAUUUUCUUGUUUUCUAUUUAUUUAUGAGAAUGUAUUUGAUGGCUAAAACAAUUUUAUUUAUUGUUUUAUCGCAAAUCAUGAACUAAAUUUGAUUGUGGUUGAAUGAUAAACGAUCUUAAUGGAUGUUUGACUGACAUAUGUGUCUUGCUCUGUAUUUGCUAUAAUAUUUUAUCUUAAUUUCACCUAUUGCAAUUUUCUAUUUCGACUGACCACCCAUUUGGUGGAUAUUAGCUAAGAAAGAGCCUAAAAAAGAUCUGACUUAGUAGAUCAAAUUAAGACAAUACUUAGUUUUAGAUUGAGUUUCCCAAAUUGAGUAAACCUUAAUUUGAAUAAGGCCAUAUUUGAUCUAAACUUAGUGAAGAACUAGACAUAGGAAUUCAUCUUAUAGGGCAAUUAGAACUUAGAACGCAUAAUGUUAUAUCUAAUGUUAGCAUAACAAUUAAUCAUUGUAAGGUUGCAUUUAGAUAUAAGAUUUUUAACAGGUGACAACUGAGGAUGCAUAAGAGAUUCUGCCCAGUGCUGUAAUAGAUGUUGUAGCAACAAGAUCUUAAUUAGAGAAACAAUCAACAUCAUUAAGUGAGUUUAAUCACUCAACUACUAUAUUCCCAUUGAGUUUGUCCUCGUGUUUGAAGUGAGAAUUUUCUUUAUUGCAUUUUUAGUUUAAUUAAUUCAUUAGUUUCACAAAUUGUCUUAUUUUAAAUAGAACAAACCUGCAUUGUUAAGAUUGUUGUAGCAAGUUUGAUAAUAUCAGUUUUUGUGGAGAUGAUCUGAAUACUCAUCAGUAUAUUACUUGUUUUAUACACUUGCACACUGACACCUAUAGUAAUAGAAAUCACCCAACAAUAAGGCACAAUUAAUUAGACAUGUCUUUAUAAUAAAACAUCAUUUAUUUUAGGGUUAAUUUCAUUUUACCCUCUUAUUAGAUUGACAUACUUCAAUUUACCCUCUAAAAGUAUGAAAACUUCAAUCUACCCCUCAAAAGCCGCUUUCUCUCUGUUAAUUUGAAUGAUCCAAAGGAUAAAAUUGUAUUUGUACAUUUUCUGUUAGGCUGAACUAAAUAAGAAAGUCAAACCUCAAUUUUUUACUUUUAUUCAUAGUCGAACGUUUCAAUAAAUUAAAGCAUGCACCUAAAUACUUUAAUAAAUUUCACUAUACAGCCAAAUAGUUAUUAUUUUAAAAUUGAUUUUUUUGUUAAGCUUUUACGAUAUAUAUACAAUCAUUUGAAAUUUUGAAUGGUUGCUGCUGAGAGCAAUAGUACAGAAGAAGAAGAAACAAGAAGUAGAAGUAAGAAAAAAAAAAGAAAGAAAAAGAACGAAAAGAAGACGAUAAGGAUAAAAGAAGACAAACAAUUAAAAAAAAUGAUUAAGAAGAAAGGCAGGAGAAGAAGAAUGAAAGAAAAAAGAGAAAAAUUAAGAAAAAGAGAAAAAGAAAUUGAACAAAUGAAUUACAAUUUUUUAAAACUAAAAUUUUAAAAUGUUAUCAGUUUUAUAUUUUUAAUAUUUUAAUCAAAAAAUUUUUAAAGCAAAAAUUUUUUCUUUAAUGCUCGAUUUCUUCAAACAGUCCAAAUAAUAAAAUUAUCCAUUUAAUUCUCACAAUUCUAAUUUUCAUUCAAAUCUCUAGAUAACAUUUUAUCAACCUCUUUAAUUUGUUCUAACAAUGGAUUCAAUGUGCACAAAAUUUCUUGCAAGUCCCAAUUAGAAAUCAAAAACCCAUUUCAAAGAACUAAAGAUUCCUUUAGAAAUGUAACAAAAAUAUAAUUUGCUAUCAAAAUUAGUUCUAAAAAACAAUCCAAAUCAAUGGACUCAAACUCUACCCUUCAAAUUAAAGCCUUAAUUAAAAUUUAAAAAAAGAAAGAAAAGAAAGAACAAAGAAAGAGCUUUUGUUGUUUAACUUAGAAAAAAAUACGUUUUUUUUUUUUUUUUUCCAAAAACCCUAGCCACCAUGCCUUACCACUUCAUUUUCCCACCACUAUAAUUCAACCUUCCUUUCCACCAUCAGACAAUUUGACAACAAUUGCUGGACAAAACCCAACCUUCUUCUGCCCUUGAUUCGCCACGGCAACUGAUAACUCUAUGAAAUGAGAGUUAUAAUGACACUUUUAAACUUAAAUCAAUAUUAUUUAGAGAGUAAAUUAUGUGUUUUUAUUACAUUUUAGUUACAUUUUGCAUGAGCAUCCAUUUUAGUUUAUUUUUAAUAAAUUGAGUUACUUUAGAUAAUUUUUUUGUUUAGAUUAUGUGAAUGAUUGUAGGUGACCGAAAAACUCAAGUUUUAAAGAUGGAAUGCUGCUGCAACAAACCUGCAAAGAUAAUGAAAGAACUUUGCUAAAGAGGAGCUGAAACAAGCCUGGAACAGUAAAGAUGCUGUAGCCAUUGGUGUAGCAAUUUUGGAUUAAUGACAGACUGGAUUUUACGCGCAAUAACUAAAAGAUUGCAAUUUGAAGUCUCUAAAAAUGGAGUAUGCGCACCACACACUUUCAGUUGCCCUAAUUCUAAGUUAUAAAAGGAGUACACAUAAAAAGAAAAAAGAGGAGCCAUCACCCAAGGAGAUUAAUGAAAAGAAAACAAUGAGAAAAUAAAAAUUAAGAGGGAGAUUUGAGGGAUGUAACAAAGGAUUCAAUGAGGAAAUAAAGGAGAAAUCACAUAGACCAAGUAGAACUCAAUUCUUCUUCUUAUUUUUUUGUUUUCUAUUUAUUUAUGAGAAUGUAUUUGAUUGAUAAAACAAUUUUAUUUACUAUUCUAUCAAAAUCAUGAACUGAAUUUGAUUGUGGUUGAGUGAUAAGCGAUCGUAAUGGAUGUUUGAUUGGCAUAUGUAUAUUGUUUUGUAUUUGCUUUAGCAUUUUGUCUUAAUUGUAUUUAUUACAAUUUUCUAUUUCAGCUGACCAUCCAUUUAGUAGAUAUUAGGUAAAAAAGAGGCUAAAAAAUGUCUGAUUUAGUGGAUCGAAUUAAGAAAAUAUUUGGUUUUAGAUUAGAUUUCCCAAGUUGACUAAAUAUCAAUUUGAUUAAGAUCAUGCUUGAUCUAAAAUUAGUGAAGAACUAGAUAUAAGGAUUCACCUUGUAGGGUAAAUGUAACUUAGAAUGUUAAAUGUUAUGUCUAAUGUUAGUAUAAUAAUUGGUCACUGUUAGGUUGCAUUAGAUGUAAGAUAUCCAACAUGCGACAGCUGAUGAUGCAUGAGAGAUUAUGUGCAGUGCUGUAGUAGAUGCUGUAACAAUAAUAUUGUAAUUGAAAAAAUAGUCAAUGCCAUUAAGUGAGUUUAUUCCCUCAACUAUUUCUUUCCCAUUGAUUACAUCCUUGUGUUUGACGAGAGAAUUUUUCUUAUUGUAUUUUAUUUAUUGCAUUUUUGUUUCAAUUAGUUGAUUAGUUGUUUUAAUUUCAUUUAGAACAAAAUUGCACUGUUAAGAUUGCUGUAGCAAAUAUGAUAAUAUCAAUCUCUGUGGAGACGAUAUGAAUACUCAUUAGUAUAUUAUUUGUUAUGUACGCUUGCACAUUGACACCCAUAGCAAUAGAAAACAUCCAACAGUAGCGUCGCUCAAAUCGUCCAAAUUAGGAGCUCUACCACUUGUUCGCUACAGCUAAGCUAGCCAUCACUGCCGUCAAUCCAACCCACCAUUUGAUUCAUUCAAUUCCAACGAGCACACCUGGGCAAAUAACAUCCCCAAUUGCAGCCAAAACCUUUUGUUUGGUGGGAAGAUUUUGGAUGGUUUUUGGUUGGGGUUAACAGAGAAAUACAUGUUUUAUGAAAGAGGAGAAGAAAAAAAGAAAAAAGAAACAAAGAAGAAGAUAAAUAGGGAAGGGAACGAAAAAGAUGAAGAAGAAAGAAAAAAGAGAGAAAAAGUUCCCUUUUCUAAUAAUUUUUGAUAAUUUAAUUUUUUGAUUGUGUUAUAUGCUCUAAUUUUGAUUAUAAUAAUGUUGAUUGAUGGAGAAAAUUAUUUGAUUUGAUGCAGAGAAGAAGGAGAAAGAUGCAGAAGAACAAAGAAUAGAUAAAGAAACGAAUAUGAAAAAAAGAAAAAAUAGUAGAAGACAAAGAAAUAAGAAAUAAAAAUUGAUUUUUUCAAUUUUCAUUGUGGUGAUAUUGUAAAUAAAAUUCUUGAUUAUUAUAUUUGCCUUAUAAAUUAAAUUAUAAGCAAAAAUGAAUUUAAUUUUUUAGAGUCUUCUAUGAAUUUUUUAUAAGGGAUUUUCAUUAAUAAAUUUAUUUUUGUCAUCUAACUUGAAAUAUGUUAGACUUUAAGGGGCGAAAUAAAAUUAUCCUUAUUAACUCGACAUAGUUGUUAGUUAGGGAUAAGGGCAUUCUCGUAUUUUACUAAGUCAACAUCAGCCAACUGUUAAAAAUAAUGAUUUUUUGGGGUAAAUUAAAGUGUUUGUACUUUAGAAAAUAAAUUGAAGUGUGUCAAUUUAAUAAGGGGGUAUAACUAAAUUUACCCUUUAUUUUAAAAACUAUUCCAACAAUCCCUCACUAUUUUUAAAAUAAACGACUUUAAAAAAAUUAUCUCGUAUAGGCUUGGAAAACUUAUGCAUAAAUGUGUUAGCCUAUAUGGCUAUAAAAUGUUGAUUUUGAUGAUAACAAACCACACGUUUUGGAUAAACAAUGAAUUACAUAUUAUGUUUUUUGAAACAAGAAAAUGAUCUUAUGAAAUUAGUUCUUUUCAAGUUUAUAGUUUAUAUUGAAAAGUUUUGAGAACUUUGAAAUCAACAAGUGUUAUUUUAAAUUUUGGAAAUGGACAUGUUUAUAAAGUUUUAUAAAGAUUUAUGCCAUAGUAUAAUUUUAUAAAGUAUUAGGGCCAAAUUAUAAUUUUAGAAAAUAGUUGUUUCACUGUAGCAAGCUGAUGACCAGACUUACCAAAACGGCAAACCGGUUAUCAAGCAGAACCUCUCUGCAGUAAAACCAACUAACCGCAAAAUAAAAAGCAGCAAACCAGAUGUUCAAAAAUUCAAAAAUUUGAAUAUAACGGUAACAUCAAGAUGCAAUUUGGUUAACACAAAGCAGCAAGUCAAUAACGACUAGUUUUCUGCUCCAACUAUAAAAUGGCUUCAAUCAAAUUCAAAUAAAAAGAUACAACCAUUAUUAUCAUUGAUCAUUCCUCUGCAAUCUGAGCAUAGAAUUUGUGUAUUCAUUUCAUUCAUUCACACACACUGGACUUUCAUUUUUAAUCAAACACAUUGUGUGAGGAAAAUUUAGUUGUAAUCAUUUUUGUAAAAUCAAGUUGAGAGGAUGUAAGUGUUGGGAUAUAUUUAAGUGAAGAGAUUGAAGAUAAUCUCUUGUAGUAAUGGUCCAUUAACACCUUGAAAGUCAAUUGUAAGCAUUUGAACCCUUGGUAGGCUUGGAUAGUGAAAUUCUCAAGUUUGGUUUGCUUGGAGGCGUGGACGUAGGCGGGAAUUCUUGAACCACGUAAAAAUAUUUGAGUUUGCUCUCUCCUCCCUUACUCUUUUAUUUUUUAGCAUUGUUAAAUUUUUUUUUUAUUUCAUUGAGGCAUUAGAUUAAAUUGUUGUAUGGUUUGGUUAACUUAAAUUUUAAAAACCCAAUUCACCCCCUCUUAGAUUGCAUAACUAGUAUUUCAUUUGGUAUUAGAGCUUGGUUCUCUUAUUAGGACUUAACCGUCUAAAGUAAAAGAUCCAUGGCAACCUAAAAUAACUAUACCUUUAGGGAAGAUCAAUCUACAACUAGGCCACCGUUCUUUGAUGGUAAUGACUACUCUUAUUGGAAAAAUAAGAUGAGAAUUUAUUUGCAAGCACUAGAUUACGAAAUUUUGGGAAGUUGUAUGUGAUGGUCUAUUCAUGCCUAUAACUAAAGAUGAAGUAGGGGAAGAUAUUCCAAAACCUUUACGGGAAUGGUAUGAAUUGGAAAAAAAGAAAAGAUUCUCUAAAUUCUAAAGUUAUGAAUGCCUUGUUUUGUGCACUUGACAAUAAAGAGCUUCAUAGAGUGUCUAGUUGUGAAAGUGCUCAUGAAAUUUGGAACAAACUUAAAGUUGUUUAUGAAGGCACAAAUAAAGAGAAAAAAUCUAAAAUUAGUAGAUACACUCGACAAUAUGAAUUGUUUCAAAUGGAACAAAAUGAGAGUGUGUAUUCUAUGUAUACUAGAUUUAUAGAUACAGUGAACACUCUAGGAGCCCUAGGAAAAAUCUUUUCGAAUAGCGAGAAAGUUAAUAAAAUUAUUAGGUCACUAUCAAAGGACUAGAGACCUAAGAGAACUGCUAUUGCGGUAGCAAAAAAUUUAAAUACUUUACUUAUUAAUGAUUUAAUUAGCUCUCUUAUUUCUUAUGAAGAGGAUUUGGCAUCCGAAAGAGGAGAUGAAGAUAAAACGAAGAAAAACAUUACCUUGAGAGCAUCAAAACCUAAAAGUGAUGAGGAAAACGAUUUCGAGGAUGAAGAAAUAACUAUGAUGACCAGAAAUUCAGGAAGUUUUUCAAGAAAUCCGGUGAGCGAAGAAAAUUUAGAAAUCUCAAGAACCAAAAGGAAAAGAAGGAAGUAAUCAUAUGCUAUGAAUGCAAGACGCUUGGCCAUAUAAGGUUGGAGUGCUCACUUCUCAACAAAUUGAAGAAGAAAGCCACGGUGACUACUUGGGACAAUAGCGAUUAAGAAUCAAAUGAUGAAGAAGAUUCACAAGAAGUGUCAAACCUAGCACUUAUGGCAAUAGGAGAUGAUGAACAUGAUAAGGUAAAUGAUCUUCCUACUUAUGAUGAAUUGUAUGAUACUUUUAAAGAGUUGCAUAAUGAUAUGAUGAACAUUGGUAAGAAAAAUGCAUGUCGUAAUAAGAAGAUGUUAGAACUUUCAAAUGAAAAUGAUGCCUUGCAUAAAUGCAAUGAUUUAAUAAAUGAAAAGAUCAAGGAACUAGAAUUAAAUAAUGAAAUAUUGUAUGAUAGGAUUGCAUUUUUAAAAGGUAAAUAAAGUACCUCAUAUGAGCAUGAAAAAUCAAAUGUUGAUAAUUUGUUCAAAGAAAAUGAAGAGCUUAAGAAGAAGAGCAAUGAACUCAAUAAGAUUGUGUUAAAAUUCAUAAAUAGUCAAAAGAACUUAGAAAAAUUGCCCAGCUUUAAAAAAUGUGUGUUUAAUAAAGAAGGAUUUGGGUAUAAGCCUAACUUAAAACAAAAAUACUACAAAAUUACUUUGUAAGGCUACCUCCACUAGUGAUCAUAAAAUUGUUUGUCAUCAUUGCAAUAGAAAUGGUCACAUGAAUUAUAGAUUCCCUGUUAAGAAAAAUGCAUAUUAUGAAAUCAAAUGUGUUUGGGUUCCAAAAGGAACCAUUGCUAACACUCAAGGAUCAAAAACGUUUUGGGUACCUAAAACUUAGAAAUUUCUUCUACAUGAAUCAAAGAAGAGGAAAAACAAAUGGUACUUGAACAGUGGAUGCUCAAGACAUAUGAUAGGUAAUUAUUCUUGGUUUUCAAGCUUUACCAAGAUUGAAAAUGGUGGAGCUGUAUCAUUUGGAGAUAAUUCGAAAGGAAAGAUCAUUGGUGUUGGAAAUUUUGGUAAUGUAUCCUCUACUCUUAAUGAAAAUGCGUGUUUGGUUGAAAACUUGAAACACAACUUGCUUAGCAUUAGUUAAUUAUGUGAUAAAGGUUAUAGAGUUAUCUUUAAUAAAUGAAAAUGUGUUAUUGAGAUUGUAUGUGAUUGCAAGAUUCUGUUUGUAGGAAAUAGAUGUGUUAAUAUUUAUACCAUUGAUAUAAAUUGUACAUCUACUAAUGAUAUAUGUUUUUCAGCAUUGCAUGAAGAUGGUUGGUUAUGAUAUAAAAGACUAGGUCAUGCAAGCAUGAAUUUGAUUUCAAAAAUUUUAAAAAAUUAUUUAGUUGAAAGUCUUUCAAAAAUCAGUUUUCAAAAAGAUAGAAUUUGUAAAGCUUGCCAAUUUGGAAAACAAAUCAAAACUUCUUUAAAAAACAAGAAUCAUGUCUCAACUUCAAAACCACUUCAAUUACUUCAUAUAAACUUAUUUGGAUCUUCAAGAUAUGCUAGCCUAAGUGGCAAGUAUUAUGCUUUUGUAAUUGUUGAUGAUUUUUCUAGAUACACAUGGGUACUAUUUUUAGUUAAUAAGGAUGAUACUUUUGAUGCUUUUAAAAUAUUUUGUAAAAAAAAUCAAAAUAAAAAAAAGGGUAUGGUAUCGCAUGCAUUAGAAGUGAUCAUGGAGGAGGGUUUGAAAAUCAUGUAUUUGAAACCUUUUGCAAUAAUUUUGACAUUGUUCAUCAAUUCUCUUGAGAGAAAGAAUAGGUCUAUCCAAAAAAUGGCUAGAACCAUGUUGAAUUGGGUCAAAGCUGCCAACACCGCUUGUUAUUUUUUAAAUUGUGUAUUGAUUAGACAUUAUUUCAAUAAGACUUCCUAUGAGUUUUGGAAAGAUAGAAAAUCUAACAUAGGUUAUUUUAAAGUUUUUGGAUGCAAAUGUUUUAUUUUAAAUACAAAAGAUAAUCUUGGCAAAUUUGAUCCAAAAUUUGAUGUUGGUAUUUUUCUUGGUUAUUCAAACACAAGCAAACCUUGUAGAGUGUAUAAUAAAAUAAUUUUAUUUGUGGAAGAAUCUAUGCAUGUUACAUUUGAUAAGUCUAACCCUUCCUCUAUGGAGAAAGUUGUAUUGAACGAUGAUGUAGUUGAAGAUUUACGAGAAGAAUUAUAAAAAAAAUAAACAAGAGGAUAGACCACAAGAAAAUCAAAAGGAUAAAGAAGAAGAACAAACAAAUAUGGAGCAAUAAGAAGGUACUUCUCAAACACUCUCCAAGGUGUGGAGGUAUGUUUUCUCUUAUCCUAAGGAAUUAAUUUUAGGUGAUCCUUCACUUACUGUUAUCACUGGAUCAUCACUUAGGAAUACAUGUGAGCAUGCUGCAUUUAUAUCUCAAAUUGAACCAAAAUUCUUUGCGGAUGCGGAAAAUGAUGAAUCUUGGAUUAUGCCAAUGCAAGAGAGUUAAAUCAAUUUGAGAGAAAUAAUGUGUGGGAAUUAGUUCCUAAACCAGAACAUCAAUCCAUUAUAGACACUAGAUAGGUAUUUAGAAAUAAAAUGAAUGAAUCCGAUGUGGUUGUAAGGAAUAAAUAUAGAUUAGUGGCCUAAGGAUACAACCAAGAAGAAUGAGCUGAUUUUGAUGAAACAUUUGCGCUUGUAGCUAGAUUAGAAUCUAUUAGGACGUUGUUAGUAUUUGCAUGUCAUAAACAUUUCAUUUUAUAUCAAAUAGAUGUAAAAAAUGUUUUCUUAAAUGGUUAUAUUUUGGAAGAAACGUAUGUGAAACAAGCCCCUGGUUUUGAAAAUGAAAAGUUUCCAAAUCAUGUUAUAGGUUGUCUAAAGCAUUGUAUGAAUUAAAACAAGCACUUAGAGCAUAGUAUGAUAGGCUUAAAAAUUUCUUGUUGGAUAAUGAUUUUUUAAUGGGAAAAGUGGAUGCUACUCUCUUUGUUAAGCAUAAGAACUAAGAUUAGGGGUGGCAAAACGAAUAAACGAAUCAAAUUCGAAUCGAAUCGUAAACGAAUUGGGUCAAAAUUAUAUGGAUUCGGAUUCGAUUCGUUUAUUAAACGAAUUGAAAUUUUAGGAUUUGGAUUCGAUUCGUUUAUUAAACGAAUAUUCGGUUCGAUUCGUUUAAUUCGUUUAACAAAAUUGAUAAACGAAUCGAACCGAAUCCAGAUUCAUUUAUUAUUCGUUUAUCCUAUAUGAAUCCAUAACGAAUCGAAUCGAACCAGGAUUCGUUUACGAUUCGUUUACAAUUCAUUUAGAAAAAUAUAAUUAAUAAACAAAAUUAAGCAAAAAAAACACAAAUUUAAUAUCCCACAACAAAAUAUGAAAAUACAAAUAAUUCAAAUCAUAUUAUACAGUCAUCCAAAUACCAAAUUACAAAUCCUUAAUAUUACAAAUAACAAUAAUUCAAAUUCAAAUUAUAAAGAAAUGUAAUUUCUUUAAUUCUCUUCAUUUAUCUUUGUCACCUUGAAAACAAAAAUCCUACACCAAAAAGUAAAUAAAAUGUUAUUAACAUGCUGCAAUAUUGAUAAUAAUCAUUGUAAAAUUUCAAAAAUAAAAUAUAUAGCAAAUUUGUAGCAUUUUCAAGGAAAUAAUAAUUAAACAAGAUAAAAACUUUACCUACCACACUCACACACUGUUAUUUGGACCAUUGACACUCUCUGCAGAUGGAGCACAAUUAGUGCUCAUGUUCAUAAUGUUUUGAGUAAGUUGGUCCACAGUGACAUCUAAAUUUUCUACAAUAAUUUUAUAAAAAUAAAUCUUAAUUAGAAAAAUUGCACAUAAAUUAUAAAAGAAAAGUAAAUAAAUUUUAUGAGCAAGUUUUACCAAUCUCUCCAAACUUCUAAUCUCUAGUAGUAAUAAUUGCUUGGACUGUCUCUGGCUUCAAAACACUUCGAAAUUGAUCAAGAACUCGACCGCCAACACUGAAAGCUGAUUCAGAUGCAACAGUGGAUAUAGGAAUGCUCAAGAUAUCACGAGCCAUGAAAGAAAGGUUAGGAUAACGAAAUCCAUUUCCUUUCCAAAAACUUAGAAUGUCCAAAUCAAUCUUUCUAUCAAUUCUUGGCUCAUCUAAAUAAAGCUCCAAUUCAGAUUUUCUAACAUAAGCACUACAAUCCAUGUUAUCAAAAUCAUCAAACUCCUACAAAAUAAUUAAGAAAUAAGAAUAGUCAAAAUUCAAAACAAGCAUCUAAAUAAUAAGUCUUACAAUGAACAAAUAAGAAAAUUGUAAAUAUACCUUGAACAUAUCCAUGGUCCUUUGGUUAAGUGUACUUUGACUAUUGUCAUUACGUCCCGCACUUGAACCAACAUCACUCAUUUGAGUGAGUAUGGAUGUAGUGGAGGAAGAUGGUGUGAUCAAAUUAUACUCACCAAAAAUUGAAAACAAUUUAUCUCGAACAUGUUUCAACUCCUCCGAAUUUUGACCAUAAACCUUACUAUAAGCAAACUCAAUAAAUGCCAUCUUAUAUCUAGGAUCCAAGAUGACCGCUAUGGCCAAAAUCGUACAAAAAUCAGACCAAUACUUCUCAAAUUUUUCGAUCAUUUUUUGUGCCAUAGUUUUCAUGCCUCACUACACAAUAAUUGAUCCAAAGCAACCUUAGCCGCAAACACCUUCGGAAAAUACAAAUUUGAAGUGGGGUAUUUUGAACUAGAAAAAAUGCAUGUGAUCUCAUAAAACAUAGACAAGAAUUUGCCAAUCUUUUCUAUUUUCCCCUAUUCGUCUUCAGAAGGACAAUUCUUGUAAUUAGAAUCACUCAAAUGUAAAUGACGGAAAGCAUUUUUGUAAUACAGAACACUAUCAAGCAUGAGAAAAGUUGAAUUCCAUCUUGUAGGAACAUCUUGUCUUAAUCCUUUCUUGUCGUCUAGAGAUACUUGCUGAACACACUCUAAAAAUUUUUUUUUUCUCACUUGUGACCCUUUGACAUAUUUCACAGUCUCACGGGCUUUUUCUAUUUCUUUCUCAAUUUAUUUCAAUCCGUGUUGAACAAUUAAAUUAAUAAUAUGAGCACAACAUCGAAUAUGAAAGAAAUCUCCAUCACACACCAAAGCAUUCCUUAAUCUCAAUUGACUUUUUAACAUUACAACACAAACAUCAUUACUUGAAGCAUUGUCUACAGUCAAUGAAAAAAUCAUUUUCUCAAUACCCCAUUCACACAACAAUGACAAUAUUUUUUCAGCCAAAGCAACCCCAGUGUGUGGAGUUGGCAUUUCACAAAAAUUCAGCACUUUUUUCUGUAAAUUCCAUCACUUAUCAAUGAAAUGUGCAGUGAGACACAAAUAACCAUCUGUAGUUAUAGAAGUCCAUAAAUCAGUAGUAAGACAUAUUCUACUAGGAGCUUCUUCUAACUUGCUUCUAAUUUUUAUCUUUUCCCUAUUAUGCAUUUUUAACACAUCGGCUUUCGCAGUGUUCCUACAGAUGUUGGGCACUUCAUCACACAAAUAAUUCCAAAUUCUUCUAAUUCCCUCAUAUUCAACAAAUUGAAAUGGCAAAUCAUGCAUAAUAAUGGCACAAGAUAAUAAUUCACGAAACACACGAGCUUCAAACUUGGGAACACGAGUUGACAGUCCAUCACUACGAUCUAACAUCAUUUGUACAGGAUCACGCUUUUUAAAUUUUGCACAAGUUUCAUAAUGUCUUCUUAGAUUACCUGUACCAGAAUUGCGCACAGCCACGUACUCAAUGCUGCAUUUUUUACACACUGCUCUCGGCUUGUUGUCCGGAUACUUAUCUCCCGAAACCUUACGGAACAACGACCAAACUUGUGAAGUUAGUUUCCUUUGCCGUGGUGCCUUUUGUUCGACUGGCCUUAAACCCUUUUCAAUCUCUUUUUCCAGUUCGAUUAUGUCAUUUACAUCAUCAUCUCCAACACUAGAAUCGUUAAUUGUGUAGGCUGAAUUACUUUGGCUUGUGUCCAUUCUCCUAAAAAUAAAAUAAUUCUAAAUUAUUUUAAAGGCCCUAAUUAAUCAAAAAAAUUUAUUUCAAAAGAAAAGAAACAGAGAGUACAAGAAUAAAAGAAAGCCAAAGCCACAUGAGUAUAAUUAGAAUCUAAACAAAUCUAAGACUAAUAAAUCAAGGAAAAAGUCUAAUAAAGACAAACCCAUGCCAAUACGUAGUAGUUACUAGUUAGCACUUGCUGGUAAUUAGAAUCUAAACAAAUCUAAGACUAAUAAAUCAUGGAAAAAGUCUAAUAAAGACAAACCCAUGCCAAUAAGUAGUAGUUAGCACUUGCUGGACUUGAGCCUGGAUGGAAAAAUUAAAAAAUAAUAAUAAAAGAAAAGGAUUUGGAGCUUACUGUGAGUUUGUGAUUUACGCAAAAUGGUUACUGUUGCCGGUUGAGAAAUUAUUGAGAUGGUUGUCGGUGAUUUACUAGCCGCUAGUUGCUAAGAGAUGGAAUUAAAGGGAAAGAUUCAAAGAGAUGGCAAAACGUAGUAGAGCAGUGGCUGGUGAGUGGUGUUUGGUGAUUAGAUCUACUCACGAUUUUGACUUUUGAGUUGCUAAGAGACAAGGGAAAGAGAGACAAAGUGUGAACUGUGAAAUUAGGGUAUUUGACUUUAUAUAUUAGGCUUAAAAUUACAAUAUUAACCUUAAAAUUUUAAAAAGCUUUUAAAUAAAUUUAAGGAUAAAAAAGUAAUUUAAUUAAACGAAUAAUAAACGAUUUUUAAACGAAUUGACCCGUAUUCGAUUCGUUUAUGACCCAUUUAUUAAACGAAUUCUAAACGAAUAAACGAAUCAAAAUUUUCAAACCCGCAUUCGAUUCGUUUAAAUAACGAAUCGAAUCGAAUUCAUCCAUUUAUUAAACGAAUCAAUUUUUUCAAACCCAGACCCAUUUAAUUCGCAUCGAAUCGAAUCGAAUAAACCAAUCCUGACCUAUAUUGCCACCCCUAACUAAGAUUUACUUAUUGUUAAAAUUUAUGUCGAUGAUAUUAUCUUUGGUUCAACUAAUGAGUCUUUGUGUAAAGCGUUUUCAUCUUGUAUAUAAGUAAGGAAUUUGAGAUGACAUGAUGAGAGAAUUGAAAUAUUUCCUCAGACUUCAAAUCAAACAAAACAAUGAGGGAAUCGCCAUCAACCAAGCCUAAAUAUGUCAAAGAUCUACUCAAGAGAUUUGAUAUUGAUGACUCAAAGACUAAGAGCACUUCUAUGAGCACAACAAUCAAGCUUGACAAAGAUGAAAAAGGUAAAGAGGUUGAUAUAAAAAUAAAUCGAGAUAUGAUCGACUCUUUACUUUACUUAACUGUAAGUAAACCUGAUAUCAUGUUUAGUAUAUAUUUGUGUGCAAGAUUUCAAUCAUGUCCUAAAGAAUCUCAUUUGCUUGCAGUAAAAAGGAUUUUUCGUUAUUUGAGUGGAAGUAUAGAUCUUGGCUUUUGGUAUUCUAAGGGAACACAUAUAAAUUUAACUUGUUAUUCGGAUGCUUAUUUUGCAGGUUACAAGGUCGAUAGGAAAAGUACUAGUGGAACUUGUCAUUUCUUAGGUCAUUUACUUGUUUCAUGGUUUAGUAAGAAAUAAAAUUCGGUUGCACUCUCAACCACCGAGGAAAAAUAUAUUACCGCAGGUAGUUGUUAUGCACAAUCUCUUUGGAUGAAACAAACACUAAGAGAUUAUGACAUUAAUCUUGAAAAACAUUUGGUUGCACAAUCAUUUCUUAGGUCAUUCACUUGUUUCAUGGUUAGUAAGAAACAAAAUUCAGUUGCACUCUCAACCACCAAGGCAAAAUAUAUUGCUGCAGGUAGUUGUUAUGCACAAUCUCUUUGGAUGAAACAAACACUAAGAGAUUAUGACAUUAAUCUUGAACAAAUUCCUAUUAUGUGUGAUAAUACUAAUGCAAAUAAAUCUAUCAAAAAAUCCCAUAGGACUAAGCACAUAGAGAUUAGACAUCAUUUCUUAAGAGAUCAUGUUAAAAAAGAAGAUGUUAUGAUUAAAUUUGUUUCUAUUGAAAAUCAACUUGUAGAUAUAUUUAUAAAACCAUUUAAUGAAGUGCAGUUCAUAAAGAUAAGAUACUAGCGUUAUCACUAUUGCAAUUUGACAUAAGCCGAGAUACCCAAUAGCAAUUUGAAGGCCAUGGUUUCACCACUGCUAUUAGUACACAUCACUCCAUGAAUGGGCAGAGUGACGUGUCAUCCUAUAAUUUGUUGAUUCCUUUUUUGUUUGUGGGCUGUCACGUGUGGGAAGGAUUUAGAGUGUAUAAAGAUGGUGUGUUGACACAGUAAGCAUGCGAAAGGAUAAUUUUUAAAAACCUCCCCUGAGGUUUGGGCUUGUUGCAAGUAGAUGGCGAGAAUCCGUUUAUUUGUAAAAAACCCCAUACGUUUUUGCUCCGUUUGCUUUCCGUUUGGGUAGUUGUGGGCAUUGUUGACAUUUUGCAAUAAACAUAAAUCUUUUGCAACUUUCGUUGCCUUGAGAACAACAGGUAGUCAUUUCAGUUACUGUAUUCUGACACAAAUAAAAACCAAACUUGCAAAAAGAAGUUUGGUUUUCUUUCAAAAUUGUUUGAAAUGUAGCUAAUUUGUAUGAUAAUGCUCAUCUUAUUGCUCGUUGAAGAUCAUUUCAGAGCUUAGUUCAACUCCAUCUAAUUACUGUGAAACAUUCCCAAAAGCUACCUUACUUCUUAUCUCUGCAAAGGAUCAUCUUAAAGCACAAACCACAAGCAUGAACCACUAGUCCACGAUGUAUCGCAGUGAGUUUUGCCGGUGACCCACGAGCACCAACCUCUAUGUCGAAGCAAAUAAGAGGUGAGUUGUUUAAAAACACAAUCUUAUCUGUUUUUUAUGUGUAGAUAGCUCAAAAAGAUAUUGUGAUUUAGAUACAUGGCUUAGGUAAAAUUAGAAUUGAAAUUAGAAAAAUUUGGUUCUGUAAUGGCAGUAAAAUAUGGCAUUUUUUGUUUGAUCCAUGUAUGACAUUUGCUGAAUGUGGUCGUGGACUUACAAUGGUUAAGCCUUAGAGUUUACAACUUAUGGGAGUAUUGGUUUUUGGUUUAAUAUUAGUAGAAAGAAUAAUAAGAGCCAAGCUAUUGGGGUUAAUGGCACUUGUCCUAGCCUAGGGAAGGAGAUGAUAUGUAAGAGGAUGAUGGGCAUUGAAUAGUGGAGGCAUAUUUUAUAAUGCUUUAUAUCAUGGGGCCAUUUUGCCUUGCCUGGAAAUAUAUGCACAAUAGUAACAGCUACAUGCAAAGCCAAUUAGAGCAAUAUGGACCUCUAAUGCAUAUGUUGAUGACAACUUGCAGCUGUGCUUUCUUUGACGUUGAAGUUGUAGUUGAUGGCUCAGUAAUUGAGAUUGGCAGUGUUCUAUCUGAUAAGUACACCUUAACUAAGCUGUGGGUAGACAUCAUUAACAUAUGUUGGGAUACACCUAUCAGAUAUGCAUCUACGAAGGAGUACAAGGUAAUGCUACCUUGGUCUUCAGAGUACCAGAACUUGUUUAAUGAUAAUGACAUGCAAGAUGCAUUCCAAAAGUUAAGGGAAAAAGGAUAUCGUUGGGCUAGAUUUAUUGUGAAUACUUCUGUUGGUCUAAAACUAGCUUAUAAAUCAUCUGAACAUUUAAUCAGCAGUAAUGAUGCAUCUAAAGAUUUUUCCACUCCUGCAAAUCAAGUUUCUGUUAACUUAAAUCUUGAACCUAACAUGGAUUGGUUUGAUUUUGCUGAUGGAGAAGUCUUGGCCAAGUUUCAUGCUCGUAAUUCAAAUGCGCAUCCUGAAAAUACGGUGCUGGAGAAUGAGAUUCCACCUUCACGUUUUGAUGAUACAGAAAACGUAGCAAAGUAUCUUGGUAAUGUAGUAGUGGAACCUAGUGAUGAUGAGAGUGACGGGUCAGGUGAUGAUGAAAGCAACCAUGGUCUUGACGACUACCGAUCUGGUGAUGAAAGUGGUGAAGAAUCUGAUAAUGAAAGUGAUGAGCCUGCUUGGGCUAGAUACGAAGCAAGCUCUGGUGGAUUUGAAUUUAUUGCUGAUGGGGAGAACGUAAUUCUUUAGCCUGGACAGUUAUUCACAGAUGUGUAUGAGUUUAGGAAAGUGAUAAGGGUUUUUACAAUUAGAAAUGGCUUUAGGCUUAAAAGAAUUAAGAAUGAGAACGCAAGGGUGACUGCAAGGUGUGGAAAACCAGGUUGUACUUGGAGAAUUCAUGCAAGCCCCAAUUGGAAUAUUAAGUCAUUUCAAUUGAAGACCUACUGUUCUGAGCAUACAUGUGCAAAGGAUGAUGUUGAUAACUGUGAAGCAAAUGCAGCUUGGAUUGCAGCCCAGUACUUGCAUGUAUUCAAAGCAACUCCUGAUAUAAGUGUGAAAGUGAUUGCUGCUGAUAUGUUUAGAAAAUAUGGGAUUGAAUGUAGCGUGCACAGACUGUACAGAGCUAAAAACAAGGUAAUGGAUAUGUUGGGGCAAGACCACAAGCAGAGUUACAACAAAUACUUUCGAUAUAUGCAUGCUUUGUUCGAAACUAAUCCUGGAUCUACUGUCUCUUUAGAAAGAGAUUGGCUUGGUGGUGCUGUAAAUCCUAUUUUUAAAAGGUUCUUUGUGUUCAUUGAUCGUAGUAGAAGGGGUUUUUUUUCGAGGGAUGUAGACAGUUUGUACGAGUUGAUGGCUAUCACCUCAAAGGUCCUUACAAAGGAGUAUUAUUAACUGCUGUCAGCAUUGAUGCUAAUUUUGGGAUAUACCCCCUUGUAAUGUGCAUUGUCGAAAAUGAAAAUACUAACUCUUGGGUGUAUUUUAUGAAAAAAUUAUAUGAGCAGAUUAGGUGUAAUCAAGGAGAAGGGAUGUGUUUUAUGAGUGAUAGGCAGAAAGGGAUUCUUAAUGCACUUGAGCAAGUUUUCCCACUUGCAUUAAAGAGGUAUUGUUGUAGGCAUAUUUAUGCCAACUUCAAAACGAAGUUUCCUAGUUUAUUAUUGAAGAAGACAUUCUGGAGGGCUUGUAGAAGCGCAAACUUUACUGAGUUCAAUGAGCAAAUGGAGAAGUUGAAAGCAAUUAGUAGUGUUGGCCAUAAAUGGCUAAUAAAGAUACCUAUUCAACAUUGGGCCAAGCAUACAUUCCCACCCUUCACAAAAUGCACACAUGUGACUAAUAACAUGACCGAAUUUUUCAAUAACUGGAUUAAUGGCUACAGAGCGAUGCCUGUUGUGAGGAUGUUAGAAAACAUAAGGAGGAAAAUUAUGAGGUUGAUUCAUACAAGGCAUGAAGCUGCUAAAAGAUGGAAUGAGGAGCUGCCACCAUUGAUGAGGAGAAAAAUUGUUGAGGCAAGAGGGUUGUCUGUUAUUUUUUGGCAUGAAAACACAUCUAAAGUACUAGAAGAUGCACCUAAAGUAUUUAUUGUUGACAUUAGUAAUAAGAAGUGCGAUUGUGGGGAGUGGCAAAUCUCAGGGCUACCUUGUAAACAUGCGAUCUGUUCUAUUGAUGCCAAAAGGUUUAAAGUUGAGGAUUAUGUGCAUAAUUACUUAAAGAAGACUGCUUUUUUAGGCACCUAACAACACUAGUUCAAGCCUAUGCCGGAUGAGACUAAAUGGCCAUUGGUGUUGACUUACAAUCUACAGCCACCACUUGUAGCCAAAUCUGCUGGGAGGCCACAAAACAAGAGAAUGAGGGAGGCUGAUGAACCUGCUACAUUCAAGAGAAGCUGCAGUCUAAGGUGCUCCAGAUGCAACCACUGGGGACACAAUAAAAGGACCUGCCAAAGUUAAAAGCAAUCAAGCAAAAAGGUUAGUCAAAUUUAAGCUUUUUACUAAUGAUUUCUUAUAUAACUGCAGCAUAAAAUACCUUUUUUUUUUUUUAAUUGUCUGAGUCAGAAGAAGAAUGGAGAACGAAGCCUAAGGCCCUAGCAAACUGCGACUGAAGUAGCAACAUCACAGUCCACUGUCUUUGACAAUGGUGAACUCAAUAUCCUUUAAAUUUUGGUUUCAUCCUUUAACUUGAUUACUUAACUACUUUUAUAACUAAUAUUAACUCUUUAUGAUUGUUCUUUUAAUCAUUUAGGACAAAUCACUCAAGAAUGAAACUGUAACAAUUAGAGCAUCCAACAUAUGGCAGAUCAGUUAAUGGUGUAAUAAUAAAGAUAGGCAGACCUACUUAAUCCCGCUAAUUAAUUUUUUUGAGGGAUUAGAUGAUACAACACCUUUUGGAAGGGCAAGGCUUUUGAGAUGGUGUAUCAUUUUUUGCUCAUACUAACUAUAGGUUUGAGACUUUUGUUUUUUUUUUUGUUUUUUGUUUUUGUAGAUUAUUAACCCACUAUCUUUAUGUAAUCAUGCCAAAAACAAGUAGCUUGAUGGUGCAUGCUGGGUUAUCAGUUGUAAAAGUGAAACAAAUGAAUGUACUUCUUGCCUGCUGUUUGAAGGUUGUUUAAAGUGGCCAUAACUGAUACUGCUGCUGUUGUAUUAAUGCUGGAUGGUUUCAUUUGAAAAAAAAAAAAUAGAUUUUAUUAAAUGUAGCUUUUGCAUGUGUGUUAUCUGUGAUGAUGAUGAGAAAUGUUGUGUGUUAUCUGUGCUGAUGAUGAGAAAUGGUGUGAUUAUCUGUGAUCAUGAUGAUAAAUGCCGGUUAUAAAGUUGUUGCCAUUACUCGGAAAUCAAUAUAUGCUAUAUAAUGAGCUUCACAAAAAUAUAUUUGCCUAUGUUAGUUACUUGCAUAUGCAUUUAGUUCAUGUGCAUUGGCAUUUCUCUUUGAUUUAUGAUGCAUUUCAUAUAAUCUUAAUUUCUAUUUACAUUUUGCUACAAAUUAAACAUUAUUUUCAUUAAAAUACUUGAUAUAGAAAAGUCUUACAUUAGUUAAACAAUCAUAGCCGGCUUUGCACCUUCUCUACAUACACAUAACUUAUUCACUUAAGGCCAUAGAAGAACACAACAUCACUUAGAAAUAGAAAAAUGACAUUAGCACACAUUAUUACCUUCAUUACAUUACAUUUCAGCCAUCUGGUUUCAGAUUUGUUUACUAUUCUCUUAACCUCAGCAACCUCUCUAAGAAUUUCUUCAAGCAUCUCUUGCAUUUGUGUUGAUCAUCCACACUGUCUCUACAGACUGUAUCUACUCUAGGACCUUCAAGUAAUGCGAUAUUAUUGAGAUCAUUUGGUGAUGGGUACCACCACCUGAAAUAGCCACACUCAUUGAAAGGGCAGCAAUAAAACAACUUGUUAGGAUUAUCUUCAGACUCUGAUAUGCGCACAAUAGCAUGGACUUUGCAUCCACACUUCUUGUUUGUGAACUUAAUCACAUUUCCAUUUAGCUCGGGUCUCCACCUUGUUAUGCUUCUAUUGUUCCUACUACUAGUUGUUGCAUUUGAACUUCAGAAUCCAUUUAUAGUGUAAGGGAAGAAGAAUAACAUGUUGAGAAGGAGAAAUUGUUUUUGUGUGCUGUGCGUGAGGUUUUAAACUGCUUUACAAGCUUCUAAAUAGCAGGAGACUUGCAAUAUGACCGUUGGUUUGUAACAGUCAUAAUGCAACACCUCUUUAUUUUUUUUCUAAGUUUUUAAUUUUUUCUUUCUUGUAAGAAGUUUAAGAAAAUAUCAAUAAUUUAAAGAGGGUAAAAUAGUCAUAAUUUUUACUUAUGAUAUUGUAAAUAUUUGGAAUUAAUAGGGACAAAAUUGUCAAAAAAAAGAUUUGUGAUUUUCACGUGAACAAUCUCUGCAUUUUUUUUAGCUAUGUUAGUUUAUAAACUAUCACUGGGAGCAAUGUUGUCUUUGCACAGUCAACUAACGGUUAAUGUAAAAAUUAACUGACGGUAGAAAUUUUUUUACAAAUAAAUGAAUUCUCGCAAUCUACUUGCAACAAGUUCAAACCUCAUAGGAGGUUUUUAAAAAUUACCCCAUGCAAAAUGUGUUUCAAAAAACACAAGUUGCUGCUAUGGUGAAGACUAACGACGGUGGUAUCUGGCGAAGGAAAAUGAAUUAAAAAAAAUUAGCACGUGAUGCCUUCCAAGUUCCCAUGUUGUAGGAAUUUGAGGGUCACCCUUGUCUCUCACAAGAACCCUCCACCAUUCACUUUAGGUACUUUUGUCUUGGCUGUUGCUUCUGCCAUUUUCUUGGGCAUGGAUCGACGCUACAUGCGCUUUUCAAGAUCUUGUUGACUUCAUAAUUUAUCAUCUCUGCUUCUGCAUACUCGAUUAAACUUUCUUAUUAAUUAGCUUAAAAAGUACAAUUUACAGAAUGUCACCGACAACAUUAUCUAGGAAUAGCCGUAGAAACGACUAUAAAAAUACACAAGCUGCCAGUACAUAAUGGUAGCACGACUGAAUUACUAACACGGGGCAAGGAUGCAAUACUGAUGACAUAAAUUAAGGAAACGAAAUAUAUGGAAUAGAAAUUUUGUUGCAGAGAGUCAACUGAAAAAAUGGAGAAAGAUCCAGGGUAUCCAAGUCUGCAAUGGCGUAACGAGUAUGCAUUGAUUUGCUGCGGCUGGCAGCUUCCAAAACUUCAUUUUUUGCUAAAGAAAAUUCUAUUUACAACAUCAACUGGCAAAGCAUAGGCUGGAUCAAUUGGUUUCAGUCCUGGAUAUUCAAGAAGUGAGAGUCCUGCAUCAACAGCAGACAUUGAAUCACUUAAGUAUCAGUAUAACAUCUAUAAAAGAAUUGUAUCGCUUGCCAGGCAAACAGUCAAACAACAAGAGAACAUUCUAUCCACCUCAGAAAAUAAAUGAAGUAAAAAAGGAAAAAAAGAAAAAAUUGGUCUUCCUAACCAUUUCUUCAAGAUUUACAAUUCCAAAACAUCUAUAGAAUAAUCUUCUUAUAAUUACCGAUAUGGGAUAGGCAACGUAUGAUUGACGAUGGUAAUGUUAUCCAGGUUUAACUAGGAAAGGCUAGCAAAUGUGGAACGGGCUGAGAGCAUAUUCCACAUAUGAAAUUGGUCAGGCUACAUAAAAAAAGGGCAAGAGUACUAGGAUUCACACAAGUGGUAGGAUCAUCAAAACUCUUUACAAAUUAAAUAAAGAAUGACUUAAUUGGAUGAAAGUAGAACAGUUAGUAAGGUCAAUAAGCAAAAUCAAAGCUAAUAGAUACCCGCUACUCCAAAAUAUGUAUGGAAGACAUCAACGGCAUCAUCAGGUCUAUCUGAAAUUCCUCCAUUUUCCAUGUCCUGCAAAUACGAAAAAUUAAAUGUAAUAUCAGUUAAAGUCUUGGCAGCAACUCUGGAAUUCAAGACUCCAUAAAGUAACAAAUUAACAAAUUCUGGCUCGCCAGAGGUUUGGAAAAAGCCAUUUCCACUCAAACUAACCUGACAGUCCAAGAUGAACUUAACAAGCUUGUCCUUAUUGAUCCAGUGGACUCUGUCAAUCAUGAUCAAGCUUGAAAGAACCCACCAGGAGUAGCAAACCUGAGUAAUUAAACUACAUCACUGUGAAGAGGACCUACAAGAAUGUUCCAUCAUGAGGUUGGGCUGAGAGAAAAUACCCACAUCAGGAAGUUUCUCAGGGCGGCCAUUAAGACCUCCAGAUUUGACUUGUCGCUCACAUAACCACCAGCCAAGAAGGUCCUUGUCAACAUGAUGCAGAGCCCCGGCAAUAGCAAGUGCACCAACACAACAGAAGACUGCAAUCACGACAGAAAAAUUUAACACAUUUUGAGUCCAUUUUUAACAUACAUCUGGUGCUUAAUGCAUGUAUUACUGGAUUGGGGAAUAAAGAAACAUGUCAAUUCUUUAGACGAAAUUAAAGAAAUGCCACCCGCCUUCGAACAUAUAAUUGCCAUCUAGACUGUAAAAUUAGUUGAAAUAUAUAUUUCCAGAAAUCUAAUCUCCCACAAUGUUCCAUUUUGAUGUCAAUGGGUUAGAAGCUGAAGCAUAAAAUAGUAAAUGCAUUACAUACUUUGCCCUGCAUGAGAUUCUCCACCAGGAGUGCACCCAAAUCCACCAUCCAGAUUUUUGCAACUCACUAUGUACUCCACGGCCUUAUCCACAUUGAUUUUAUCCAGCCGCUGUAGUAUUGAGAGACAACAUAUAGCGAUAUAAGAAAACCUACAAAAUCAAUUAGUAGAAAGAGAUUAUUUCAAGCCAAGCACAAGCUGUAGAUAUCUGCGAAUCCAGGAAAAUUUACCGUGUAUCCACUUCCCCCCAUAUGUCUCCAGAAAAGGAGCCAUCUUCAUUUUGCAGCCCCACAAUAUCUAACUCAAAGGUUAAGUUCCACAAGAAUGCUUAAAGUGGCAAUGUUUUAUACCAAAAAAAAAACUCACAUCUAAUGCAGCUUAUGUGCUAGCCUGUUUACUAUUGGUAUUGGAGUUACCAAAACAUACAAAUUAUAAAAUUACAGAAAUCAGACUCUUUAGUCAAGUGAAAUUUCAUAUAUGUGAAAACAAAAUCAUUAUAGUCAUAAAAAAAGUUGUUACUUCUGUGAAUCUUAUAAGAAACAAAGCAUUAUCUUUAUAUUGAAUGGUUGACGAAUCCCUACCAAUAAUUUGACAAAGUAAUAAGGAUACAAUUUGACACCUUAUCGGCAUCAAGAAUAUCUAACUUAUCAAAAAGGGCCAAAACUUGCACGGCGCUGAGGGUAUACAACACAUGUGGAUCAUGUCCAAUAUUACCAGCAAAACCACCUGCAAAGAAAAAUUUCUUUCAUCCAUCACAUUAUAUUUUGAUAUUUUAACUAAAAGUACUACAAAGUGAUUUACUUUGUCUAAAUGCAUGGUCAUUUUGUUCUUAAAAGUCAGAUUCAAAAACAAGAGAACUUGCCAAGGAAAUAACAAAUUGGAUAAUUAUUGACGCAUAAAGACACAAUAGUAAGUAUAGGAAAAAAGCUUCUGUACAAACCAGAUUCAUCCUGACACUUCAAGAUCCAUGAAAUAACAUCUUCUUCAUCUACAGCAUCAAGCUUUCCUAAAAUAUCGAGGGUCGUCAGCCCCCAAUAUGCCCCAUUCAAUCUCAAAUGUUCCAUCACCACAGAUUCAAAACUAUCCUUUUUCUGAGAAAACAUCAAUGAAAAUUGCAAAAAACCAAUUUCAAUAAGAGUUCUAUUAACCACGGUAAAAGUACAAGAUAUAUAGGAAGUGUGAAAUUAAACCUACCUUCUCAACUGAAAUAAUGUAUUUCACAUGUUUAUCUGCAGCCAGCUCUCCCAUCUGUCAUCCAACAUUAAACACAAUCAUUUUGAACAUUAGGUAAUUUCGUGUAACUUUUGAUCAAAACAAUUGAUUUUCAUCCGCCGGCAUCUUUUCACAUUACAUUAUCUACAUGAAUGCUCCCCUAAGAUAUUAUUAGAAAACAAUCAAGACUUAUAAAUUGAUUUCUUCUUAAAUUAUUCCUAAUUGAUAAAGCAAAUAACAUGAAUACAUAAAAAUCAUUCCACAGGUAAAUUAUUUGCAAUUCGCUCUUUUCCACGUCAAAUCAGUCAGCUUAACAUCUCAGUUUCAAUCUGUUGCUUUCAUUACUUUUUUUCUGCUUAUUCCGCUUACAAAGAACCAACAAUGAUCCAAAACUCAGAAAGAUACUUGAUUUAUUUGCAAAUUGCUGCAAUGAUUUCCAUUAUUACUUUCUCCCAUGAAUUGUGCUCUUAACAUUUAGAAGAUCAUAUUUACAUCUUUCUUACAACUGCAAUAUUUCAACAAGUUUAAAUUAAAAGAAAAAAAAAACUUUAACAAAUUUCUAAAAAGCCAAAACACCAAAACCAAUCAACAUUGCUAACCUCCAAAUGCAGCAGCAGUGAUGUCAGCGGCAGCGGCUUCACAACAGCAAAUGAGAACUGCAAAACAUGACGACAUAAACUAAUUUUUGUUUUGCUUCUAAUGGUGACUGGUGAGCGGGUUUGUGGAAGGAGACUAGUUUAUUUUACUUUCAGAUUUAAGUAGGCCUGGUUCGGUUCUGAAACGAAACCGAUUGAUUCCAAAUAAUAUGAACCAAAGCCGAACAGAAAUUUAGAACCGAAUUGAAUUCAGAAUUCAGAAUUCAGCAAGCAGAGUGAAGCAGAGUGAAGAAGCAUAUAAUCUACUGCCCCAUUAAGUACAAAUAUAAACAAAGAUUACAUAAAAGUAAACAAACUAUGAACAAAAACAAGAGCUUCAGCAUAGUAUAUAGUAUAUGAUGAGUACAAUUUUUCCUCAUCAAGGGACAAAAAACAACAGUGAAAGGGAAAGAGACAAUCACGUGAAAAUUUCUAACAACAAACGUUCAAAGAAAUGAAACCGCUAAAGUUUCUUCUUUUCCCACACCCCAGUCUUAAUCAAGUUAAAAUACCUUAAUCACUGCAGCAACAACAACACACAAAAAAAAAAAAGAUUUUUCUUUCGCAUGAUAUUUCCGUAGACCCUAAUUCCCAGAAUAAAUAAAUAAAUAGAAAAAACGUUAACUACAAACUACUACUGAACACAAAAUUGACACAAACGAAAUCCCUAAAGACGAAAAUUUCAGUAACCAAAAAUUAUGCAAAUGACCAAAAAAAAUACCUUUCUUUAGCCACUUCAGCCAAAAUUUGAGGGAAGGCCUCAGCUUUACUGACGUUGGAAAGCGCCUGAGGAGGAGACGCAGCCAGCGACGGUUGGGGCUAGCGGAAGUCGAGUUCUUGAGGAAACUGGGGGAGGUGGGGCUGACGGCAGUCAGGCUGAGAGAAUGAGACGUUGAGAGACCGUGAGAGUAAGAUGGUGACCGGAGAAGGAGAGAGUGAGAGUGAGCGUGAGAGACAGGGGGGCUGGCAGGCUGCUGCUGCGUGAGAGAGGGCUAUUCUAGAAUUAGAAAUUAG